UCUCUUGCAAAAUGCUCCUUUGUCAUCAAAACAAUGUCAUGUCUCCUCAAAAUGGUAUUUUGUGUUCAAAUGACACACACAGAGUGUCAUCAUAUGAGUAGAUAUUUCUAAGCAAUCAUUGAACACUGAUGUGCUUAAUGGAAAACACUACUAUGAAUGGCAAAACACCAGUAUGAAGGCCUUAUCAGGAGCAGGAGCCUUUUCAUGUUCAGUGUUACUGUACGCUUACUCCUGUUGUAAAAUAUAACUGUAUAAUGUUUUUACUCAAAUAUAAAACAACACACAAAUAUAAAGUAACAACAAAAAUAUUUCUUUCUUUUUUCUAAAAGUGCUGUAGCCUGUACAUCACAGCAAACACAACUGGAUGCGUAAAUGAUUUGCACAGAACAAACAAUAGAAAAUAGGCCAGUACAGUCAACAACACUUUGUAUUUGUUUGAUUGUUAUAGCAUUAUUUUCCACAACCAUAUUGACUAUUACAGUCUCCUGUUCAGCCGUCAAGACACGCUCCCUCCCACCACGCCAGGAGAAAGGAUGCAACUGAGAAGGCCAGCCUCCUGCAUGGUCAAACCAUGGUUGACCACAUGGUUGACCACAGUGGCCCGAAUCUCAUCAGCGAUAAUGGCUCUAUUUCUUGCUCUUCCUCCUCUUCCUCAUCCUCCUCCUCUUACUCUCACUCCUCUGCCUCUCUGAUCAACUCUCACUUCAAAUGAGGCAUGCUUUCAAAAAAUGUGUGUAAGCAAUUGAGAAAAACUGUAAUAGCGAAGUUACACAGCGAAAGUUCGAUCUAGUUCUAGUGACCAACCUGAUUAUGUUCCAUGUAUACGCAGAUAUAUCAGAGGAUAUAUGGGCAUGAAAACUGGCCUGAAAGGCUUGGAAAUGUUUUGGUAAAAACGUGUAUGAGCCCUAUAGAUCAUGCUUAAGACAUGUGUAUGAGCCCUAUAGAUCAUGCUUAAGACAUGUGUAUGAGCCCUAUAGAUCAUGCUUAAGACAUGUGUAUGAACCCUAUAUAUCAUGCUUAAGACAUAUGUAUGAGCCCUAUAGAUCAUGCUUAGGACAUGUGUAUGAGCCCUAUAGAUCCUGCUUAAGACAUGUUUAUUUGUCUUGUUUGGUGUGAAAAUGUUUGCCACAGAAUAACAAGGAUGAAUAUACAAUUCAUUCAAAUAUAAAAUCCAUGUGCUCCAUGCGUUACAUAAGAUGGAGGCUGUUGACAUAGAUUUUCAGUGUCUGUUGGUGUGACAGGAAAUGGACAGGGAGAGAUUGUGUUUGAACACAACAAAACUAACAUGAAGACACAUGAAGCAUUUUUAGGCUUAAUCUAGUCUUUUUCAUCAUAUGACUCUAAUGUCUGUUAUACUGGCCUGGCAGAGCUGGCAUUGAGUCACCACUUUAAAAGGAGUUCCUCACAUCCUGGCUCUCCCUUACAUGCACAUAUACCAAUCAUAGGUCAAACUAAUGGCAAAAUUUGGUUGAAUUAUGAAAGCCAGAAGUGGUACUAAACGAAGAACCGUUUGGGGGCCGAAAGAGCUGGCUCUUAUUGCUAAGCUCAGCCAAAUCUGGUUCACUAAAAAGAACCAGAAGUCACGAG
This is a long non-coding RNA of Clupea harengus (Atlantic herring), 1587 nucleotides long. The record is from Ensembl. NCBI's taxonomy places the organism in Eukaryota, Metazoa, Chordata, Actinopteri, Clupeiformes, Clupeidae.